UGGGGAAUAUUGGGCAAUGGAGGGAACUCUGACCCAGCGAUGCCGCGUGGGUGAAGAAGGCCUUCGGGUUGUAAAGCCCUUUAGGUUGGGAAGAAGAUGUAGGUAUGAAUAAUGCCUAUGUUUGACGGUACCGACAGAAUAAGCACCGGCAAACUCUGUGCCAGCAGCCGCGGUAAUACAGAGGGUGCGAGCGUUAAUCGGAAUUACUGGGCGUAAAGGGCGCGUAGGCGGAUAGGAGGGUGAGAUGUGAAAGCCCUGGGCUCAACCUAGGAAGUGCGUUUCAAACUAACUAUCUGGAGUACAGGAGAGGGUAGCGGAAUUUCCGGUGUAGCGGUGAAAUGCGUAGAUAUCGGAAAGAACGCCGAUGGCGAAGGCAGCUACCUGGCCUGAUACUGACGCUGAGGCGCGAAAGCGUGGGGAGCAAACAGG
RNAcentral lists this ribosomal RNA (429 nucleotides) under uncultured bacterium. RNAcentral describes it as "bacterial SSU rRNA". It matches the Rfam family "Bacterial small subunit ribosomal RNA", at positions 355 to 776 of the family's 1533-position model. The record is from RNAcentral.